GACGAACGCUGGCGGCGUGCUUAACACAUGCAAGUCGAACGGAAAGGCCCUGCUUUUGUGGGGUGCUCGAGUGGCGAACGGGUGAGUAACACGUGAGUAACCUGCCCUUGACUUUGGGAUAACUUCAGGAAACUGGGGCUAAUACCGGAUAGGAGCUCCUGCUGCAUGGUGGGGGUUGGAAAGUUUCGGCGGUUGGGGAUGGACUCGCGGCUUAUCAGCUUGUUGGUGGGGUAGUGGCUUACCAAGGCUUUGACGGGUAGCCGGCCUGAGAGGGUGACCGGCCACAUUGGAACUGGGAUACGGCCCGGACUCCUACGGGAGGCAGCGGUGGGGAAUAUGGCACAAUGGGCGGAGGCCUGUGGCAGCAACGCCGCGUGCGGGAGGACGGCCUUCGGGUGGAAACCCGCUUUGGCCUGUAACGAAGCGGGGGUGACGGUAAUGGGUAAAGAAGCACCGGCUAACUACGU
Molecule: ribosomal RNA, 467 nt
Filed under: uncultured bacterium
Lineage: Bacteria
Description: partial 16S ribosomal RNA
Rfam family: Bacterial small subunit ribosomal RNA
Source: RNAcentral